GCCUGGGUGGCUCAGCGGUUGAGCAUCUGCCUUUGGCCCAGGAGUGAUCCUGGAGUUUGAGGAUCUAGUCCCACCUCAGGCU
RNAcentral lists this transfer RNA (82 nucleotides) under Canis lupus familiaris (dog). It matches the Rfam family "tRNA". From Rfam's summary of the family: Transfer RNA (tRNA) molecules are approximately 80 nucleotides in length. Their secondary structure includes four short double-helical elements and three loops (D, anti-codon, and T loops). RNAcentral also lists the same sequence under 1 other name. Lineage: Eukaryota; Metazoa; Chordata; Mammalia; Carnivora; Canidae. The record is from Rfam by way of RNAcentral.